Molecule: ribosomal RNA, 397 nt
Filed under: Streptococcus thermophilus
Lineage: Bacteria; Bacillati; Bacillota; Bacilli; Lactobacillales; Streptococcaceae
Description: bacterial SSU rRNA
Rfam family: Bacterial small subunit ribosomal RNA
Source: RNAcentral
AGCUAGUAGGUGAGGUAAUGGCUCACCUAGGCGACGAUACAUAGCCGACCUGAGAGGGUGAUCGGCCACACUGGGACUGAGACACGGCCCAGACUCCUACGGGAGGCAGCAGUAGGGAAUCUUCGGCAAUGGGGGCAACCCUGACCGAGCAACGCCGCGUGAGUGAAGAAGGUUUUCGGAUCGUAAAGCUCUGUUGUAAGUCAAGAACGGGUGUGAGAGUGGAAAGUUCACACUGUGACGGUAGCUUACCAGAAAGGGACGGCUAACUACGUGCCAGCAGCCGCGGUAAUACGUAGGUCCCGAGCGUUGUCCGGAUUUAUUGGGCGUAAAGCGAGCGCAGGCGGUUUGAUAAGUCUGAAGUUAAAGGCUGUGGCUCAACCAUAGUUCGCUUGGAAAC